Molecule: ribosomal RNA, 161 nt
Filed under: uncultured bacterium
Lineage: Bacteria
Description: partial 16S rRNA
Rfam family: Bacterial small subunit ribosomal RNA
Source: RNAcentral
GGAAUCUUCCACAAUGGACGAAAGUCUGAUGGAGCAACGCCGCGUGAGUGAAGAAGGUUUUCGGAUCGUAAAGCUCUGUUGUUGGUGAAGAAGGAUAGAGGCAGUAACUGGUCUUUAUUUGACGGUAAUCAACCAGAAAGUCACGGCUAACUACGUACCAG